ACCUUCAAUUGCCGAAGGUUCCUACGCUUUGGCUGCCUAGAACUAGGCUGCCCGAGUCCCAGCUAGUCGCCGGAACCGGCUGACGACUCGUAUCACCCCCUCCGGAUCGCCGCGGGUCACUGCCGAGCACGCCCGCGGUUAAACCAAGUUCUUGGCUAGUGCUGAGGCAGCCCUGUCGACGAGGCGGCCGUAGUGCGAAAUCAAACUCGACGACUAUGCACGUAGACGCUCGCGUGGAACCAUAGCGGGACGCGGGUUCGAUUCCCGCCGCCUCCACUU
Molecule: transfer-messenger RNA, 279 nt
Filed under: Planctomycetales bacterium
Lineage: Bacteria; Pseudomonadati; Planctomycetota; Planctomycetia; Planctomycetales
Description: partial transfer-messenger RNA
Rfam family: transfer-messenger RNA
About the family: Bacterial tmRNA, also known as 10Sa RNA or SsrA, is named for its dual tRNA and mRNA-like properties. Its role is to liberate the mRNA from a stalled ribosome. To accomplish this part of the tmRNA is used as a reading frame that ends in a translation stop signal.
Source: RNAcentral